GAUCCUGGCUCAGGAUGAACGCUGGCGGCGUGCUUAACACAUGCAAGUCGAACGAAGAUGCCGGAGUGCUUGCACUUUGGCAGACUGAGUGGCGGACGGGUGAGUAACGCGUGGGUAACCUGCCUUAUACAGGGGGAUAACAGUUGGAAACGACUGCUAAUACCGCAUAAGCGCACGGUAUCGCAUGAUACAGUGUGAAAAACUCCGGUGGUAUAAGAUGGACCCGCGUCUGAUUAGCUUGUUGGUGAGGUAACGGCCCACCAAGGCGACGAUCAGUAGCCGGCCUGAGAGGGUGAACGGCCACAUUGGGACUGAGACACGGCCCAAACUCCUACGGGAGGCAGCAGUGGGGAAUAUUGCACAAUGGGGGAAACCCUGAUGCAGCGACGCCGCGUGAGUGAUGAAGUAUUUCGGUAUGUAAAACUCUAUCAGCAGGGAAGAUAAUGACGGUACCUGACUAAGAAGCAUCGGCUAACUCCGUG
RNAcentral lists this ribosomal RNA (482 nucleotides) under uncultured bacterium. RNAcentral's name for it is "bacterial SSU rRNA". It matches the Rfam family "Bacterial small subunit ribosomal RNA", at positions 15 to 507 of the family's 1533-position model. The record is from RNAcentral.